Long non-coding RNA from Pyrus x bretschneideri (Chinese white pear), 1635 nucleotides. RefSeq lists it as uncharacterized. The record is from RefSeq and is a predicted model, not a curated record. NCBI's taxonomy places the organism in Eukaryota, Viridiplantae, Streptophyta, Magnoliopsida, Rosales, Rosaceae. The transcript has 3 exons.
AAGGGUAUAUAUAAAAGAUUAAAUAAUAGAAUACAAAUUAAAUAUUACAAAAUAUGGACGGAUGUGGAAAAGUAGGUAAGGAUGUGUGAAAAUCACAAUCCGAAUUGAAUUAUUCAGAUUCUCACUUUUCUCACUCCGUCUCUCUCAGUUGCCGGCCGUCCACUCCUCCUCCUCUCCAAUCUCUCUCACGAUCUCACCUCCACCACAACCAUUAUGACUUCGUCUUCUCUCAUGGCCAGGAACUUGAUGUUAUGAAGCAAACACUGGAACCAUUAGAUUCUACCCUUCCUAGAUCAGUCCUGGCCCCUGAAGCUACUGUGGUCAAUAUGGAAGACAUGCCACCAUUGCCAUCUUAACCACCAAUGCAAUGGAGGAUGGAAAUACAACAUGCUUCCCUUUUUUCACAGAGAGAAUUGGUUGGAGUUGGUCUGGAUUCUUUGCUGCCAAUCCAGCCAUCGGAAUCAGUUGAGAAAGCUCAAUUUGAUAUGCCAGCACCACAGGACCUAGUAGAUUUACCAGGAGACUUACAAGAAGGAUUUAGUUGACUAAGACUACUCAACUUCCAAAUCCAGUUGGUUAUUUCACCAUGAAUCAGAAGAUGAGUUUGAGAUGGCUGCAAAAGCAUCGGUUGACAUGGCUAUAGUAGAAGGGCAAGGAGAUUGACGGCAAAGAUCCACCACCUUCACCUCCACAGUAGCACCAUCCUUGCAGGGCAUAUUAGCAGGGACGGAUCUACAGAGGGUCCUGGGAGGUCCCAGGACCCCUCGGCCAUCCUAAAAUGUUGCUAGAAAUUUUCCGGAGGACCCCUCGUACUCGAACACGAGGCCUGUGCUGCUGUGCAGAUUGUCUGUGUUGCUGCAGCAACAGGUUGCAGUUUGCAACGGAGAAGAAGAAAACAGGGGAGAAGAAAGAAAACAGGGCAUUAAAAAAAAGGGUCCAAAACGCAGUGUUUUGGCCCUUUUUUUUUUUUUUUUUUUUUUAAUUAAACCAAUGAAAUCAACGGUUGCAAUUGGUCCACCUUUGCAACAUGAUUACAUAUUAUUUUUGAAAGUCUAGCCCCACAUCCUGUCGUCCCUUUCACUUCUUCUUUACCCGUGCCUUCCACUGCUUUUCCCCCUAAUCCCCCAUCUUUCUUAUAUUCACCCAAAACCCUAAAUUUCUAAUCCCACCCAAUCCCAUAUUAUAAUUACAUUACUCCAAUAUUAUACCUCCACUUGUUUAAAUUCUCCAAGCCACCACUAUUUGGUUCCAAAUUCAAGUAAGUUUUUUGGUAUUCUAAUCUAAUCUCAAUUAAAUUAUAUUAGAUAUUGGUGGAGAUUUUUAGUCUAUUAUUGAUAUGAUUGUUGAUGUGUUUUAUGUUUGUAUACUCAUUUUAUAAUUGAAAUUUGGAUGGAAUUUUUUUUUAACCUUUAUUAUUGGGACCCCCCGAGUUUAAAAUCCUGGAUCCGCCACUGCAUAUUAGGUCCACUCAGGCACCUAAUUUUAUAGAGCCUUCCACACGCAGAACCACCGUCCCACAACCCUUCACUCACCGCCACAAAAAGGUACAUCGGAGGGAACUGGUCUGGCCUACUCCCAAAGCAUUUUGUUGCUGCACAACAAUUACAAUAAUGGCAUAAGAAAAGCUAAUUGUCA